This 73-nucleotide transfer RNA is filed under the name Candidatus Altarchaeales archaeon A3. Its description in RNAcentral is "Candidatus Altiarchaeales archaeon A3 tRNA-Pro". It matches the Rfam family "tRNA". From Rfam's summary of the family: Transfer RNA (tRNA) molecules are approximately 80 nucleotides in length. Their secondary structure includes four short double-helical elements and three loops (D, anti-codon, and T loops). Further hydrogen bonds mediate the characteristic L-shaped molecular structure. tRNAs have two regions of fundamental functional importance: the anti-codon, which is responsible for specific mRNA codon recognition, and the 3' end, to which the tRNAs corresponding amino acid is attached (by aminoacyl-tRNA synthetases). tRNAs cope with the degeneracy of the genetic code in two manners: having more than one tRNA (with a specific anti-codon) for a particular amino acid; and 'wobble' base-pairing, i.e. permitting non-standard base-pairing at the 3rd anti-codon position. The record is from RNAcentral. Lineage: Archaea; Nanobdellati; Candidatus Altarchaeota; Candidatus Altarchaeia; Candidatus Altarchaeales.
GGGGCUGUAGGGUAGCUUGGUAUCCUACCAGCUUGGGGUGCUGGCGACCUGAGUUCAAAUCUCAGCAGCCCCA